CAAUUUUAGAGUAAGAGAAAAGGGUCCCCGAGAUGGGAAGAAAACCAAAUAUGGCGGCAGGGAAAUACAUGAUUAUGUUAAUGGUGAAGGUGUCACAACAUGCAAGAUGGGGGAGUUGAGAAGGGUCACAGAAGAAAUUAGGAAUUUCCACAUCCUUGAAGCAGGUCACUUGUAAGGCAAUCAAGUUGUGCAGCUGGGCGUCUAAAAGCUGAGAAAAAAAAAAGACAACAAAACUAGGAAGCCACAGAAACACGGGUUCAUGAUGGCUGAAUGAUAUAGAGGGUGACAGAUGGCUACAAACCGGUCAUAGGCCAUCACACUCAGGAGCAUGUCUCUCUUCCAUGCCUUCAAAAAUGGCAAAGAGAGACAUCUGAAUCAGGCAGCCUGCAUAGGAGGUGACUCUGCUGUGAGACUGGAUGUCCACAAUCAUCUUGGUGACCGUGGUGGAGGUGAAACCGAUGUCAGCCAAGGACAGGUUGGAGAAGAAGAAGUACAUGGGGGUGUGGAGUUGGGAGUCAGGGCUGAUGGCCAGGAUGAUGAGCAGGUUGGAGAGGAAGAAGUACAUGGGGUUGUGGAGGUGGGAGUCAGGGCUGAUGGCCAGGAUGAUGAGCAGGUUCCCCAGCACCGUGACCAGGCACACGGACAGGAACAGCCCAGCGACGACCGGCUGCAGUUCUGGAUCCUCUGAGAGUUGGAGGAGGAGGAAUAGAGAGACAUCUGUUAGACUCUGUGGGUCUGUAUAGUUUGGACACCUUUUGCCUGGAAAAGAUGGUUGAAAAAUCAGAAACAAGUAAACCAAUACCCAGCCUUGUGUCUGCAUUUUGGAUAUAAGCAAUUCACAAGUAAUGUUUUCAGAUAUCAGAGCAAUCCACACUCAGCAAUAUUUUGUAGUUCUGACAAGCUCAAUUGCCUUAUAAUGCUUUCAACAUCGAUUGCUGUGUUAUUCACGUCUUGCUGUACACACCUGCCUUAGAGACACUAGCUUCAAGAACGUUCCAAGAACCAGAUCAUCAUAUAUAACAAAUUCGUAAUUGCUAGAAAAUACAGCCUAUCUUUUCCGAAGAACAAGAUGUAAUAAAACCAUUGUCUUCACUUUAAGAAAAAGGUUAUCCUAAUUGAAGGAAAUUAAGAACUCAAAUAUUUUAUUUAUUCUACUAAAUUGAUACAAAUUCCCUUGAUUUAGAACAUUCAUAAACACUGUAUAACAGCUGAGACCAUGCCAUCUGGAAAUGAAAUGAAAGUUGAUAGUUCAUAAGCAGAAAAUAGUUCCACAUGCCAGUUAGGUCCUAGUGAUUUCAUCAUUCUGUUUUUGGACUUUUCUCCUUUGAGAGAGUAAUUGCUUACUCAAAUCAGUGGGUCUUGUUUUAAAAUUCACGUAAGCUCUAACUCCUGUCCUUAGCUUAGGUGGACUUAGAGUUUUCAUCAGAAAGUUUGGCUGGACGCGGUGGCUCACGCCUGUGAUCCCAGCAUUUUGGGAGGCCGAGGAGGGCGGAUCACGGGGUCAGGAGAUCAAGACCAUCCUGGCCAACAUGGUGAAACCCCGCCUCUACUAAAAAUACAACAACUUCACCCGGUAUGGGGGCGCGUGCCUGUAGUCCCAGCUACUCGGGAGGCUGAGGCAGGAGAAUGGCUUGAACCUGGGAGGCAGAGACUACAGUGAGCCGAGGUCACACCACUGCACGCCAGCCUGGGCAACGAGAGCAAAACUCCGUCUCAAAAAACAAAAAACAAAAAGAAUCAAGUAAGUGAAAGUCACCCUGAUGACAGCCAAUUUUGGUGAAGCAAGGAAGGGUCAAUUCAACCAUUAACAUAGAUUUUGACUUUUGCUGUCUCCUAUGUGCCAAGAAAGAUAUAGGAUCUGGGGAAUCAGAAACAAAAGAGACUCCCUUGUUCCUCUCACAAUACUCAGUACUUACUGAGAGAAGGACAAAACAAAACGUCCUGUGUGGAAUGCAGGGAAAGCAGAACUUCAGGUCAGGGGAUAUUUCCGUUGAAUUGUGUGGAGUUGAAGCUGAAAAUCUUAAGGAAUGUAUCUAAAAUUCACUUUGCCUUUACUUUAUGUAUCCGUCACCUAGAGAUCACACAGCGGGCACCCACGAUCAGCUUAAUCGUCACUCACUUCCAUCGGAUCAACUGGAAAUCAAGUCAGAUGAGAGUGCUGAGUCUCAGAGGAUGGACAUCUCACCCUUUGCCAUACAGAGAAGUAGAAAGGGUGGUAUUCAAAAUUCAUGGCCAGACUCGAAGUCCCGGGUACUAUACUUCUUGGUCUUCCAACUCUCAAAAAGUUGUGGGGUUUUUUGGUUUUUGUUUUUGUUGUUUUGAGACGGAGUCUCGUUCCGUUGCCCAGGCUGGAGUGCAAUGGAGUGAUCUCGGCUCACCACAACCUCUGCAUCCCAGGUUCAAGCUAUUCUCCUGCCUCAGCCUGCCAAUUAGCUGAGAUGACAGGUGCCCGCCACUACGCCUGGCUCAUUUUUUUCUAUUUUGAGUAGAGAUGUGGUUUUACCAUGUUGGCCAGGCUGGUCUCGAAUUCCUGACCUUGUGAUUCACCUGCCUCAGCCUCCCAAAGGGCUGGGAUUACAGGCGUGAGCCACCGCUCCCAGCUUCCAAAAGUUUUAAGCAGAGCUCAGAGGUCUUAACCACAGGCACAUCGGAGGAGCAUUUUUGAAACACUUUCCAGCUUCCUCAAUAGGAAUGGAAGCCAAACUCCGAAUUGAUGACUCCUCGGAGGAAGUCGAGAGCUGUAAGGAAAGCCAGGAACAGGGGCAAGGGAGAGAUGUGUCCCAAAUGAUCCUGUGCCAAUUCUUUCUGGAAUCCUCGAUGUGAUCUCAGCUGCUGUUUCCAUACUUGACACAGUGAUUGUGGCACUCACUGGUCUAGCUGUGGUCUACAAGGAACCCCCAAAGGGAAGGGCACAGUGAGCAGGGGCAUCCGCCUGAGUGAUGAGAAUUUGAGAGGGCAGGUUGGUUGCAGGGAGAGGACUGGCCAAAUGCCAUGUGUCUGGACUUAGACUGCCUGGAUGAAAUUGGACUUCACCCUUUUUGGCUUCAUGAUCGAGUACGAGUUAUUUGAAAAGGCGUUGCUUCUUUUCUAGUCUGUAAAAUCAUUCUGAAAUUGUGCACUAAUAACGUGGAGACUACGCAGAUGAAAUGAAACAAGCUGCAUAGAGCACAGAGCUCAGAGCCUGGCCUUUAGGAAACCCUCAGUAAGGGUUCAUGAUGCCAUGGUGUCUGUCGUCAUCCUCUUUAUCCUUAUCAUCACCUUCAUCAUCUUUUUGUUGUUCUCAGGGAAUAGUUUAGAGGGACUGAUUCCCUGCUAUCAUGGGUGAGAUGUCUAUGAAAAGGACAACCAGUGGGGGAGGGUAGCAAAAUUUUGAAUAAGAUUUCUGAGACCCCCAGCACAUCCAAGAACAGAAACUGCACACUCUGCUGAGCGGACAGUUUGCACAUUGGUCUCCUCCCAUCUGCCCAGCGCACUCUCCUCUUUGUCCUGAGGAGGAGGAAACAAAACAAGGCUCCCGACCGUCCCUCAGCACUCACUUGAAGGGGUGGCCCGUCCUUCCACACCUGUGGGUAUUUCUAGUCGGGUGGGAUGAGAGACUGAGGAAAGAAAUAAGACCCAGAGACAAAGUAUAGAGAAAUGACAGUGAGCCCAGGGGACCGGCACUCAGCAUACCAAGGAUUUGCACCGGCACCGGCCUCUGAGUUCCCUCAGUUUUUAUUGAUUAUUAUUUUUAUUAUUUUAGCAAAAAGGAAUGUAGUAGGAGGGCAGGGUGAUAAUAAGGAGAAGGUCAGCAACGAAGAUGUGAGCAAUAGAAUGUAUGUCAUAAUGAAGUUCAUGGGAAGGUACUAAGACUGGACGUGUACAUAAGCCAGAUUGAUGUUUCUCUCCACCCAAACAUCUCAGUGGAGUAAAGAAUAACAAGGCAGCAUUGCUGCAAACAUGUCUCGCCUCCCACCAUAGGGCGGUUUUCCCCCAUCUCAGAAUUGAACAAAUGUACAAUCGGGUUUUAUACCGAGACACUCAUUUCCCAGGGUCAGGCAGGAGACAGCGGCCUUCCUCUCCCUCAACUGCAAGAGGCUUUCCUCUUUGACUAAUCCACCUCAGCACAGAACCUUUACGGGUGUCGGGCUCAUGGACAGUCAGGUCUUUCUCCUCCCACGAGGCCACAAUUCAGACUAUUCCAUGGGGAAAAACCUUGGACAAUACGCCGCUUUCAAGGGCAGAGCUCCCUGCGGCUUUCCACAGUGUAUUGUGCCCCUGGUUUAUUGAGACUAGAGAAUGGCGACGACUUUUACCAAGUAUACUGCUUGGAAACAUCUUGUUAACAAGGCACGUCCUGCACAGCCCUAGAUCCCUUAAACCUUGAUUUCAUACAACACAUGUUUUUGUGAGCUUCAGGUUGGGUCAAAGUGGCUGGGGCAAAGCUACACAUUAACAACAUUUCAGCAAAGCAAUUGUUGAAAGUACAGGUCUUUCUCAAAAUGGAGUCUCUUAUGUCUUUCCUUUCUACAUAGACACAGUAAGAGUCUGAUCUCUCUUUCUUUCCCCUGCACUCACUGAACUGCCCUUCCCCUCUGCUGGGCCAUGACCACGGAGAACAGGUCCACUGUCCUCCCUGUGUGGUGCACCAUGGAGGCUCAGACUCCAUCCUCAAGGCUGGCAAGAAGACAGGGUGAGACAUGAGCCUCCUGAUACAGGUGACGGGAGUGGAGCCCACAGGACUGGAACCUCACACUGCAGGGCUGGAGGCACAGACUAUUUACUAUUCUGUGGCCUGGGGGGCUCAAGGCACAGAGCUCCUUAUUAGCCAAAGUCAUCCAAGUUCCCCAAGCUCUAAGGAUUCCUCAUAAUAAUGCAAGAAGAAGAAGAGAAAAGUGAGUGUCCAUAGAAGCUUUGGGGCUCUUCCUCUAAUCAGGAGAAAGCUGGUGUGUAUUCUUCGCUUCUUUCUUUUCUUUUUAAAAAUCCAACUGAUUUAAUUUUCAUCUUUUAUUAUGGGAAAACAUACCACGUAUAAAUAUGAAAAAUUAUAAAUAUAUAUUAGUUCAUAUAGAAUGGGCAGUAUAAACAUUUACAGUUUCCACGCUUUUUCAGUUUACAGUUUCAUGACAUUAAGUACGUUCACAUUGUUUAGCAACCAUCACCGCCAUCAUCUCCGGAACAGUUUUAUUUUUCAAAAUGGAAAUUGCACCCAUUCACCAAGCUCUCCACUCCUCUCUCUCGCCCAUCCCUGGGGGCCACCUUUCUAGUUUGCAACUCUAGGAGUCUAACUACUCUAGACACUUGAUAGAUAAGUGGAAUCAUACCGUGUUUAAUUUUUUUUUUAGUAUACAGAGUCU
RNAcentral lists this long non-coding RNA (5336 nucleotides) under Pan paniscus (pygmy chimpanzee). Its description in RNAcentral is "lncRNA (ENSPPAG00000044680.1)". The record is from RNAcentral. Lineage: Eukaryota; Metazoa; Chordata; Mammalia; Primates; Hominidae.